GCUUCGAUCAAGAAAAAAAAUUAAUACCAAAGAGGACUAUUCCAAACUGAUCCUGAGUGGAUACCCAUAGAGGUCGGAUAGUUGUACGACUAAGAAAGAACCUACUCUCUUCUAGAUCUAGAUUUGAAGAAAGAAUUUGCAAGACAGAUAUAUGAUUCAAUCACAUAUUCAAUUUCAACAUAAAAUUUAGUAUGUGUUCAAUUUCAGCAUAUG
RNAcentral lists this long non-coding RNA (213 nucleotides) under Elaeis guineensis (African oil palm). Its description in RNAcentral is "long non-coding RNA (EGUI_LNC056152)". The record is from RNAcentral. Lineage: Eukaryota; Viridiplantae; Streptophyta; Magnoliopsida; Arecales; Arecaceae.